This 786-nucleotide long non-coding RNA is filed under the name Trifolium pratense (red clover). RNAcentral's name for it is "long non-coding RNA (TPRA_LNC012834)". The record is from RNAcentral. Lineage: Eukaryota; Viridiplantae; Streptophyta; Magnoliopsida; Fabales; Fabaceae.
AGUAAUGACGCGAGGUCACCAGUACGAUACUCACCUAGUGAUAUAUGCUGGCCUAAUCCAUCAAUAGAAAUAGCAAGAAGAAAAUCCUGAGCAUGUGCUGCUAAAUCUUGUGGUCAUAUUAAACUUAACUUCCAUGCCCUGAACAAUUUUACCAAACAAAACACGCGCAAAAAAAUAUUGGGCUUUAAGGGGGAUGGUGUCCUUCCUAGUAAAACUGCUCAAGUCAAAACUAGGAAUCGUUUCAUGAAGACCAUUCAAAGCACUUCCAAAAUCAGAGUUCAUACGAAAUGCCUCACCAUUUCUCAAUAUAUGAUCUUGUAACACCCAAGAUUGCGCUCUUUAAGCCACAAAACCCAGUCUCUACUGCAGAUCUCCAACCUUAAUAGGUAAGGAAGCUAACUGAUGUAGGAGGAUUUCUUCUGUAUUUUAUUAUUUUAGUUAGAUUUAGUUCUAUUAUAUUUUAGGUUGAUUCUUUAUUUUUAUAUUUCACCUAGGUUAGUUAUUUUUAUAUUUUAGGUAGAUUUGUAAUUUUUAUUUAGCUAGGUUUGUUGUUUUUAUUUUCACAAUCUUUAGGAGAUUUGUUAAUUUUAUUUGUCACUCCUAUUUAAGCUAAAUUAUUGUAGCCUUGAAGGGAACCUUUUUGAUUUAAUAAAAUUCAGAGAUUUUUCUCAAAUUUGGUGGAUUCCAAAUUACUCUUUCGGUGGACUCCGAAACCCUAUUUUGACAAGUUGGUGUUUGCGGCUUGUCUUUAUCCAUUAGGUUUGGCGUUUUGCUAACCUAGCGCUU